RNAcentral lists this ribosomal RNA (261 nucleotides) under uncultured bacterium. Its description in RNAcentral is "partial 16S ribosomal RNA". It matches the Rfam family "Bacterial small subunit ribosomal RNA", at positions 526 to 779 of the family's 1533-position model. The record is from RNAcentral.
CGUAGGGUGCGAGCGUUAUCCGGAAUUAUUGGGCGUAAAGAGCUCGUAGGCGGUUUGUCGCGUCUGUCGUGAAAGUCCCGGGGGCUUAACCCCGGAUCUGCGGUGGGGUACGGGGCGAGACUAGAGUGCAGUAGGGGAGACUGGAAUUCCUGGUGUAGCGGUGGAAUGCGCAGAUAUCAGGAGGAACACCGAUGGCGAAGGCAGGUCUCUGGGCUGUAACUGACGCUGAGGAGCGAAAGCAUGGGGGAGGCGAACAGGAUU